Ahaetulla prasina is the source of this 482-nucleotide long non-coding RNA. RefSeq lists it as uncharacterized. The transcript is spliced from 3 exons. The record is from RefSeq and is a predicted model, not a curated record. NCBI's taxonomy places the organism in Eukaryota, Metazoa, Chordata, Lepidosauria, Squamata, Colubridae.
AGUUAUUGCAUUUAGGAUUCUAAAUGGUUACAAUUUAUUAUGGAAAGAAAUGUACAUGGUCAUCAAAUAUAUAGUUCAAUAAAAAUAUGUAAAGUAAUUUUUAUGUAAUGUUACAUACAUUGCAUCGCAUUGCAUUAAUUUGCAGAUUCCAUCGAUUGCUAAUAUAGAAUUUUUAUUAUUAGAACCUCUUUUGCUUUUACUAAAAAACAGAAUGUAGCAAUUUUUAUCUUAUCAAUUUUCAGAGUAUUGUUACAUCCACUUUUGAAGUGCUAGGAAGUGCAACCGAAGAAGACCUAAAUGUGUUUAUUCAAAAUUUGUUGUGGGAGAAAAAUGUAAAAGACAAGAAAGGGAUUGGUGUCCAUCAAAGAUAAAUCUCAUCAGGUGAUAGUUCAGGGUGUUUAUGAACUCUAUGAUCUAGAGGAAACAACUGUGAAAUGGAAAGAGGAUGAACGAAUUAAUCGAUUGGUCUUUAUAGGUAAGAA